UCGUCAAUUAUGUUACGCCGCAUACAUUCUAUUAUGUUUUUAAAAACAUAAAUAUCUUCUUAUUGCUUUGUUCUGGUAUCAUGUGGCGAGCGAUCGAGGACUAUAAGUAAUAACCAGGCGGGUUUAAACGUUAUUAUGCUAGAAACAUUGAUGCACCACACAGCGUAAGGCUACACCCAUUUCAUUAGACUCUUAUUUUGUUCUCUACAGGUCACUUCUUUUUAAUGCUCUCAAAAGUUGGCUUUCUUAUUCAACGCACAAAGUUUGAUGAGCAUUCUUUUUGUCAUAUGCUUAGUGCAUGAACCUCUCGCCGAGUUAUAUGUAAUGAGAUAAUACAAACAAUUUCGAGGCUCGAUAGAAGGUGGAUUGUACUGCGGAAACCUCCAGAGUCUGGGAUGUCGCAACCCUCACAACGCCACCUGUUGCCGAGCCAUCCGACGACAGCAUGAAUUUAAUUCCAGACCUUUCAUGUUCGUUCAAUAAAUAAAUAUAAGGAGUACACUACCCGACGCCUAUCGUUCCGCAUGUCAUACAACGAUAUUCGAGCUGAGGUCGCAUACCUUUUUUCUCCGCAGAUAUGCGCUCGCUUUUCAGCUCUCAUUC
Molecule: long non-coding RNA, 603 nt
Organism: Belonocnema kinseyi
Lineage: Eukaryota; Metazoa; Arthropoda; Insecta; Hymenoptera; Cynipidae
Exons: 3
Source: RefSeq, a predicted model, not a curated record